Long non-coding RNA from Nycticebus coucang (slow loris), 369 nucleotides. RefSeq lists it as uncharacterized. Lineage: Eukaryota; Metazoa; Chordata; Mammalia; Primates; Lorisidae. The transcript is spliced from 2 exons. The record is from RefSeq and is a predicted model, not a curated record.
GGAAGCGGGCGCGGAUCGCCCUCUUUAAGCAGCCCUGCUGUACGGAAGACUUUGUCCUUGGCCGCGGCCUCGGGAGCUGCCAUGCUGCACGGAAGGGGAAAUCAUUCUCAAGGGAAUCAUCUGGGUGGAGGUCACAAGAGCUUAGCUGAAGAUGGAUGGGAUGAGAUCCUCUUGGAAGAUGGCUUUAAUCUGGUUGGAAGUCUGGAGACUGUUGCAGAGGCCAAGAGAUUGUCUAGGCCCAAAAUGGGAUUGUGGGAUUAGAGCCUUUAAAAACUCCAUGCUUCUACUCAGAAGCUGGAAUUUGGAUUUUGAGCUACCAUUUUCCUUCUUUGCCAGAAAAAUAAUAAACUUCUCUUCCUUCUCCUCAAA